This 465-nucleotide ribosomal RNA is filed under the name Vreelandella stevensii. Its description in RNAcentral is "partial 16S ribosomal RNA". It matches the Rfam family "Bacterial small subunit ribosomal RNA", at positions 338 to 795 of the family's 1533-position model. Lineage: Bacteria; Pseudomonadati; Pseudomonadota; Gammaproteobacteria; Oceanospirillales; Halomonadaceae. The record is from RNAcentral.
CCUACGGGCGGCUGCAGUGGGGAAUAUUGGACAAUGGGGGCAACCCUGAUCCAGCCAUGCCGCGUGUGUGAAGAAGGCCCUCGGGUUGUAAAGCACUUUCAGUGAGGAAGAACGCCUGGUGGUUAAUACCCAUCAGUAAAGACAUCACUCACAGAAGAAGCACCGGCUAACUCCGUGCCAGCAGCCGCGGUAAUACGGAGGGUGCGAGCGUUAAUCGGAAUUACUGGGCGUAAAGCGCGCGUAGGUGGCUUGAUAAGCCGGUUGUGAAAGCCCCGGGCUCAACCUGGGAACGGCAUCCGGAACUGUCAAGCUAGAGUGCAGGAGAGGAAGGUAGAAUUCCCGGUGUAGCGGUGAAAUGCGUAGAGAUCGGGAGGAAUACCAGUGGCGAAGGCGGCCUUCUGGACUGACACUGACACUGAGGUGCGAAAGCGUGGGUAGCAAACAGGAUUAGAUACCCUAGUAGUC